This 253-nucleotide ribosomal RNA is filed under the name uncultured bacterium. RNAcentral describes it as "partial 16S ribosomal RNA". It matches the Rfam family "Bacterial small subunit ribosomal RNA", at positions 524 to 776 of the family's 1533-position model. The record is from RNAcentral.
UACGGGGGGGGCAAGCGUUGUUCGGAAUUACUGGGCGUAAAGGGCUCGUAGGCGGCCAACUAAGUCGGACGUGAAAUCCCCAGGCUCAACCUGGGAACUGCGUCUGAUACUGGAUGGCUUGAAUCCGGGAGAGGGAUGCAGAAUUCCAGGUGUAGCGGUGAAAUGCGUAGAUAUCUGGAGGAACACCGGUGGCGAAGGCGGCAUCCUGGACCGGUAUUGACGCUGAGGCGCGAAAGCUAGGGGAGCAAACGGG